UCUGGGACAAGCCCUGGAAACGGGGUCUAAUACCGGAUAACACUCUGUCCCGCAUGGGACGGGGUUGAAAGCUCCGGCGGUGAAGGAUGAGCCCGCGGCCUAUCAGCUUGUUGGUGGGGUAAUGGCCUACCAAGGCGACGACGGGUAGCCGGCCUGAGAGGGCGACCGGCCACACUGGGACUGAGACACGGCCCAGACUCCUACGGGAGGCAGCAGUGGGGAAUAUUGCACAAUGGGCGAAAGCCUGAUGCAGCGACGCCGCGUGAGGGAUGACGGCCUUCGGGUUGUAAACCUCUUUCAGCAGGGAAGAAGCGAAAGUGACGGUACCUGCAGAAGAAGCGCCGGCUAACUACGUGCCAGCAGCCGCGGUAAUACGUAGGGCGCAAGCGUUGUCCGGAAUUAUUGGGCGUAAAGAGCUCGUAGGCGGCUUGUCACGUCGGAUGUGAAAGCCCGGGGCUUAACCCCGGGUCUGCAUUCGAUACGGGCUAGCUAGAGUGUGGUAGGGGAGAUCGGAAUUCCUGGUGUAGCGGUGAAAUGCGCAGAUAUCAGGAGGAACACCGGUGGCGAAGGCGGAUCUCUGGGCCAUUACUGACGCUGAGGAGCGAAAGCGUGGGGAGCGAACAGGAUUAGAUACCCUGG
RNAcentral lists this ribosomal RNA (639 nucleotides) under Streptomyces sp. D145. RNAcentral's name for it is "bacterial SSU rRNA". It matches the Rfam family "Bacterial small subunit ribosomal RNA", at positions 137 to 790 of the family's 1533-position model. The record is from RNAcentral. Lineage: Bacteria; Bacillati; Actinomycetota; Actinomycetes; Kitasatosporales; Streptomycetaceae.